UACGUAUGGUGCAAGCGUUAUCCGGAUUUACUGGGUGUAAAGGGAGCGCAGGCGGUGCGGCAAGUCUGAUGUGAAAGCCCGGGGCUCAACUCCGGUACUGCAUUGGAAACUGUCGUACUAGAGUGUCGGAGGGGUAAGUGGAAUUCCUAGUGUAGCGGUGAAAUGCGUAGAUAUUAGGAGGAACACCAGUGGCGAAGGCGGCUUACUGGACGAUAACUGACGCUGAGGCUCGAAAGCGUGGGGAGCAAACAGG
This 253-nucleotide ribosomal RNA is filed under the name Roseburia faecis M72/1. RNAcentral's name for it is "partial 16S ribosomal RNA". It matches the Rfam family "Bacterial small subunit ribosomal RNA", at positions 524 to 776 of the family's 1533-position model. Lineage: Bacteria; Bacillati; Bacillota; Clostridia; Lachnospirales; Lachnospiraceae. The record is from RNAcentral.